RNAcentral lists this ribosomal RNA (301 nucleotides) under uncultured bacterium. Its description in RNAcentral is "partial 16S ribosomal RNA". It matches the Rfam family "Bacterial small subunit ribosomal RNA", at positions 509 to 809 of the family's 1533-position model. The record is from RNAcentral.
CAGUCGCCGCGGUAAUACGUAGGUGGCGAGCGUUGUCCGGAAUCAUUGGGCGUAAAGGGAGCGCAGGCGGGCAUGUAAGUCUUUCUUAAAAGUGCGGGGCUCAACCCCGUGAUGGGAAAGAAACUAUGUGUCUUGAGUACAGGAGAGGAAAGCGGAAUUCCCAGUGUAGCGGUGAAAUGCGUAGAUAUUGGGAGGAACACCAGUGGCGAAGGCGGCUUUCUGGACUGCAACUGACGCUGAGGCUCGAAAGCCAGGGGAGCGAACGGGAUUAGAUACCCCAGUAGUCCCUGUCUCUUAUACA